CUGCAGAAGAAGCACCGGCUAACUACGUGCCAGCAGCCCGCGGUAAUACGUAGGGUGCGAGCGUAUCCGGAAAUUAUUGGGCGUAAAGAGCUCGUAGGCGGUUUGUCGCGUCUGUCGUGAAAGUCCGGGGCUUAACCCCGGAUCUGCGGUGGGUACGGGCAGACUAGAGUGCAGUAGGGGAGACUGGAAUUCCUGGUGUAGCGGUGGAAUGCGCAGAUAUCAGGAGGAACACCGAUGGCGAAGGCAGGUCUCUGGGCUGUAACUGACGCUGAGGAGCGAAAGCAUGGGGAGCGAACAGGAUUAGAUACCCUGGUAGUCCAUGCCGUAAACGUUGGGCACUAGGUGUGGGGACCAUUCCACGGUUUCCGCGCCGCAGCUAACGCAUUAAGUGCCCCGCCUGGGGAGUACGGCCGCAAGGCUAAAACUCAAAGGAAUUGACGGGGGCCCGCACAAGCGGCGGAGCAUGCGGAUUAAUUCGAUGCAACGCGAAGAACCUUACCAAGGCUUGACAUGUUCUCGAUCGCCGUAGAGAUACGGUUUCCCCUUUGGGGCGGGUUCACAGGUGGUGCAUGGUUGUCGUCAGCUCGUGUCGUGAGAUGUUGGGUUAAGUCCCGCAACGAGCGCAACCCUCGUUCCAUGUUGCCAGCACGUAGUGGUGGGGACUCAUGGGAGACUGCCGGGGUCAACUCGGAGGAAGGUGAGGACGACGUCAAAUCAUCAUGCCCCUUAUGUCUUGGGCUUCACGCAUGCUACAAUGGCCGGUACAAUGGGUUGCGAUACUGUGAGGUGGAGCUAAUCCCAAAAAGCCGGUCUCAGUUCGGAUUGGGGUCUGCAACUCGACCCCAUGAAGUCGGAGUCGCUAGUAAUCGCAGAUCAGCAACGCUGCGGUGAAUACGUUCCCGGGCCUUGUACACACCGCCCGUCAAGUCACGAAAGUUGGUAACACCCGAAGCCGGUGGCA
This 961-nucleotide ribosomal RNA is filed under the name Micrococcus sp. RNAcentral describes it as "bacterial SSU rRNA". It matches the Rfam family "Bacterial small subunit ribosomal RNA", at positions 479 to 1435 of the family's 1533-position model. The record is from RNAcentral. Lineage: Bacteria; Bacillati; Actinomycetota; Actinomycetes; Micrococcales; Micrococcaceae.